Molecule: ribosomal RNA, 253 nt
Filed under: uncultured bacterium
Lineage: Bacteria
Description: partial 16S ribosomal RNA
Rfam family: Bacterial small subunit ribosomal RNA
Source: RNAcentral
UACGUAUGGGGCAAGCGUUAUCCGGAUUUACUGGGUGUAAAGGGAGCGUAGGCGGCGGGGCAAGCCUGAUGUGAAAGCCCGGGGCUCAACCCCGGGACUGCAUUGGGAACUGCCCUGCUGGAGUGUCGGAGGGGCAGGCGGAAUUCCUAGUGUAGCGGUGAAAUGCGUAGAUAUUAGGAGGAACACCAGUGGCGAAGGCGGCCUGCUGGACGGUGACUGACGCUGAGGCUCGAAAGCGUGGGGAGCAAACAGG